This 573-nucleotide ribosomal RNA is filed under the name uncultured cyanobacterium. RNAcentral describes it as "bacterial SSU rRNA". The stretch from base 1 to 472 matches the Rfam family "Bacterial small subunit ribosomal RNA", at positions 38 to 545 of the family's 1533-position model. Lineage: Bacteria; Bacillati; Cyanobacteriota. The record is from RNAcentral.
GGCGGCGUGCUUACACAUGCAGUCGAACGAACCUUCGGGUUAGUGGCGGACGGGUGAGUAACGCAAUCUGCCCUCAGGAGGGGGACAACAGUUGGAAACGACUGCUAAUACCCCAUAUGCCGCGAGGUGAAAUGAAUUUCGCCUUAGGAUGAGCUCGCGUCUGAUUAGCUAGUUGGUGUAGGUAAUGGCUCACCAAGGGCAUCGAUCAGUAGCUGGUCUGAGAGGAUGAUCAGCCACACUGGGACUGAGACACGGCCCAGACUCCUACGGGAGGCAGCAGUGGGGAAUUUUCCGCAAUGGGCGAAAGCCUGACGGAGCAACGCCGCGUGAGGGAUGAAGGCCUCUGGGGCUUGUAAAACCUCCUUUUACUCACCGGGAAAGCAACGAUCUUGACGGUACUUGAUUGAAAUAAGCCACGGAUAAUUUCCGGUGCCAGCAGCCGCGGUAAUACGGGACGUGGCAAAGCGUUAUCACCAGGAAAUAAUUGGGCCGUCAAAGCGUACGCAAGCGAGCCCUUCAAAGUCUGCAUUGGUUAACAAAGUUCGGAGACUCAAACUCCCAUCAAUGGCCAGU